UGUUAAAAAUUCCAUCCAUUUUUACUAUUAAGUACUAAUUUGGCUGAUGGAACAACCAGAUAAUGACACUUGACAUGUCACAUGUACCUCAUGCUGACAUAAAAGAAUUGAUUCAAGCAAAAUGGAUGGAACUUUUACUAGAAGAAAUGGAUGAAAUUUUUGACA
Molecule: non-coding RNA, 165 nt
Organism: Gossypium hirsutum (cotton)
Lineage: Eukaryota; Viridiplantae; Streptophyta; Magnoliopsida; Malvales; Malvaceae
Source: Rfam